AGAUCAUUGUUCUACCAAUGUGGACCAUCUUCGCAACCAGCUGGAGGCAGUUUUAGUGCGACUGAAAAGCUUUCAGACCCCUGUGUGAGCUAGUUAUACUAGCAACUUGCUGUGUCAUGUCCGUUCUCGUUAUACAUAUGAUAUGGUACCUAUUUAUCCUGAGAUCUCUUUUGCUACUGGUGCAAUCACCUCUCACGAGGGAGUUAAAGCCUCUCUGAUUGAAUGCGGGUCUUGUGUUAUAGGAGCCAAAGCUGCCUAGUCCUGUAGGUCAGUCAUUUAGCCCACUACGCCAUCAGAGACUUUAUUAGAGCCUGAACAAUCAGAAAACUUUAUAUUAGCAUCUACCUUUUAUCACCCAUGUAUUUCGGGGUAAGGGGAAUACAUAUAUACUUAGACUGCGAGGAAUACCACUACUGAGACUGGCACAAGAGAGAAUGGAACUGAAAAAGGCCCUAUAACCCACUUUAUCACAAGAUCUAAAAAAGGGUUUCUCACUGGAUAGAUUGCAUUUGAGGA
This 516-nucleotide long non-coding RNA is filed under the name Gossypium barbadense (sea-island cotton). RNAcentral describes it as "long non-coding RNA (GBAR_LNC015556)". Lineage: Eukaryota; Viridiplantae; Streptophyta; Magnoliopsida; Malvales; Malvaceae. The record is from RNAcentral.